AAUCAACGCUGGCGGCGUGCCUAACACAUGCAAGUCGAACGCGAAAGCCCCGCAAGGGGUAAGUAGAGUGGCCAACGGGUGAGUAACACGUGGGUGACCUGCCUUCGAGUGGGGGAUAACGUCCCGAAAGGGACGCUAAUACCGCAUGACAUCCUGCUUUUGAAAAAGCGGAGAUCAAAGCUGGGGAUCGCAAGACCUAGCGCUUGAAGAGGGGCCCGCGCCUGAUUAGCUAGUUGGUGAGGUAACGGCUCACCAAGGCGACGAUCAGUAUCCGGCCUGAGAGGGCGGAUGGACACACUGGGACUGAGACACGGCCCAGACUCCUACGGGAGGCAGCAGUGGGGAAUUGUUCGCAAUGGGCGCAAGCCUGACGACGCAACGCCGCGUGGAGGACGAAGAUCUUCGGGUCGUAAACUCCUGUCGAGCGGGACGAACGCUUCGCGGAUGAAUAAUCCGCGGAAUUGACGGUACCGCUAAAGGAAGCCCCGGCUAACUCCGUG
This 500-nucleotide ribosomal RNA is filed under the name uncultured bacterium. RNAcentral's name for it is "partial 16S ribosomal RNA". It matches the Rfam family "Bacterial small subunit ribosomal RNA", at positions 32 to 507 of the family's 1533-position model. The record is from RNAcentral.